CCAAUAUUCAGAACACCCCUUUAGGCAUGGGGUAUCCCCACAAACAAGAUGUCCCCUGAUAGCCCUGAUCUGGGUGACCAACAUAUUCAAAUUUCACCCAGAUCGGUUCAGGGGUUCUCAAAAAGUAUGGAAGUCUUUUGUGACCGGCUAACCGCGAGGUGGCUGCCCAAAAUAGUUCCAGGAGUUUGGGUGGUUUUGCUGGUCUAUUCGGUUAAGUGGCAAAAACGGAAUAAUUUCACGAAUGGAUUCCCCUGGCUCUU
Molecule: non-coding RNA, 260 nt
Organism: Pelobates cultripes (western spadefoot toad)
Lineage: Eukaryota; Metazoa; Chordata; Amphibia; Anura; Pelobatidae
Source: the annotation of a GenBank genome assembly